CGCGAAUUCGCCCUUCGGGGUGCAGCAGGCGCGAAAACUUUACAAUGCGGGAAACCGUGAUAAGGGGACACCGAGUGUCAGCAUCAUAUGCUGGCUGUCCAGGUGUGUAAAAUACACCUGUUAGCAAGGGCCGGGCAAGACCGGUGCCAGCCGCCGCGGUAACACCGGCGGCCCGAGUGGUGAUCGUGAUUAUUGGGUCUAAAGGGUCCGUAGCCGGUUUGGUCAGUCCUCCGGGAAAUCUGAUAGCUUAACUAUUAGGCUUUCGGAGGAUACUGCCAGACUUGGAACCGGGAGAGGUAAGAGGUACUACAGAGGUAGGAGUGAAAUCUUGUAAUCCCUGUGGGACCACCUGUGGCGAAGGCGUCUUACCAGAACGGGUUCGACGGUGAGGGACGAAAGCUGGGGGCACGAACCGGAUUAGAUACCCGGGUAGUCCCAGCCGUAAACGAUGCUCGCUAGGUGUCAGGCAUGGCGCGACCGUGUCUGGUGCCGCAGGGAAGCCGUGAAGCGAGCCACCUGGGAAGUACGGCCGCAAGGCUGAAACUUAAAGGAAUUGGCGGGGGAGCAC
RNAcentral lists this ribosomal RNA (568 nucleotides) under uncultured archaeon. Its description in RNAcentral is "bacterial SSU rRNA". It matches the Rfam family "Archaeal small subunit ribosomal RNA", at positions 311 to 879 of the family's 1478-position model. The record is from RNAcentral.